UGGGCAGUGUGGAAUGGAGACAUCCUGACUGUGGACCGCGAUGGCGACGGCUGGGGCCUCACACACAGAGCAGCGGCUGAUACUAUACUGGCAUUUUGGAACAGCUCUGUUCUACAAGUUCUCACACAUACUGGGCCAAGUUGGAUCAUCAGGGAGUGGCGUCUUCAUCAAUAGCAUUUUGGUGCACUGCUCAGUGGCAUUAAAUAUAUUCACUUUCACCGCCGACUAUCUCCAGAACUUUCUCAUCCUAAACUGAAAUCUGUCCCUGUUAUACACUCACUCCCCAUGUCCCUCUCCCCCCAACCCUCAGCAACAGCCAUUGUACUUUCUGUUUCUAUGAAUUUGAUGACUUCAGGGGCCUCAUAUGUGUGGAAUCACAGAAUCCGACCUUUUGUGACUGGCUUCUUUCACUCGGCAGAAUGCCCUCAAGGGUCAGCUAGGUGGUAGCAGGUGAUAAAAGUUCCUUCUUUUUAAGACCGAAUAAAGGCUGGGCAAGGUGGCUCACACCUGUCAUCUCAGCACUUUGGGAGGCCGA
RNAcentral lists this non-coding RNA (535 nucleotides) under Pongo abelii (Sumatran orangutan). Lineage: Eukaryota; Metazoa; Chordata; Mammalia; Primates; Hominidae. The record is from RNAcentral.